This 255-nucleotide ribosomal RNA is filed under the name uncultured bacterium. Its description in RNAcentral is "partial 16S ribosomal RNA". It matches the Rfam family "Bacterial small subunit ribosomal RNA", at positions 524 to 776 of the family's 1533-position model. The record is from RNAcentral.
GACGUAGGUGGCGAACGUUAUCCGGAAUUAUUGGGCGUAAAGGACGCGUAGAUGGUGUAGUAAGUUAUCGGUGGCAAAUCGAGGCUCAACCUCGUGGAAGUCGGUAAUACUGCUAUGCUAGAGGAUAGGAGAGGUUAACGGAACUCCCUGUGGAGCGGUGAAAUGCGUAGAUAUAGGGAAGAACACCAAUCAGGCGAAGGCAGUUAACUAUUCUAUUCCUGACAUUGAGGCAUGAAAGCGUGGGGAGCAAAACGG